This 245-nucleotide long non-coding RNA is filed under the name Mytilus galloprovincialis (Mediterranean mussel). The record is from RNAcentral. Lineage: Eukaryota; Metazoa; Mollusca; Bivalvia; Mytilida; Mytilidae.
GAAAGGGAAGGGGAUUGUAGUUACGACGUAAGGAACAUAUCCGAUAUCAUUUGUGAAACGGUUAUUCCAUAACAGUCAACCAACUCGUGAUGGCGUCCGUAAAAUUUACGAAGGGAUGAUUUCAACUUCACCAUUUGGAACUCUUGGUUUAAUAGCUUCCUUGUGAGCAGUAACCCUCUAUCAAGAAAAUCAUGAUAGGAAAUGCAAGUACGGGAAUAUCGUAUGAAUUGGGAGAUAUAUACCCG